GGGCCCAUAGCUCAGCGGUAGAGCAGUUCCCUUUUAAGGAAAUGGUCGCAGGUUCGAUCCCUGCUGGGCUCA
Molecule: non-coding RNA, 72 nt
Organism: Candidatus Woesebacteria bacterium
Lineage: Bacteria; Candidatus Woeseibacteriota
Source: Rfam